This is a non-coding RNA of Oryza glumipatula, 198 nucleotides long. The record is from Rfam. NCBI's taxonomy places the organism in Eukaryota, Viridiplantae, Streptophyta, Magnoliopsida, Poales, Poaceae.
AAAAAAACAAACCCUGGUUGUCCUGGGUUUCCCUUCUCUUAUAUGAAAUUUUUUUAUAAUUAGUAUUUUUAUUGUUGUUAAAUGAUAAAACAUGAUUAAUACUUUAUACGUGACUUGUCUUUUUAAUUUUUUUCAUAAUUUUUUCAAAUAAGACGGACGGUCAAACGUUGGACAUGGAAACUCAGGGUUUGUCUUUUU